RNAcentral lists this ribosomal RNA (484 nucleotides) under uncultured bacterium. Its description in RNAcentral is "partial 16S ribosomal RNA". It matches the Rfam family "Bacterial small subunit ribosomal RNA", at positions 29 to 507 of the family's 1533-position model. The record is from RNAcentral.
AUUGAACGCUGGCGGCAUGCUUUACACAUGCCAGUCGAACGGCAGCGCGGGCUUUGGCCUGGCGGCGAGUGGCGAACGGGUGAGUAAUACAUCGGAACGUGCCCAGUAGUGGGGGAUAGCUCGGCGAAAGCCGGAUUAAUACCGCAUACGACCUGAGGGUGAAAGCGGGGGAUCUUCGGACCUCGCGCUAUUGGAGCGGCCGAUGGCAGAUUAGCUAGUUGGUGGGGUAAAGGCCUACCAAGGCGACGAUCUGUAGCUGGUCUGAGAGGACGACCAGCCACACUGGGACUGAGACACGGCCCAGGCUCCUACGGGAGGCAGCAGUGGGGAAUUUUGGACAAUGGGCGAAAGCCUGAUCCAGCAAUGCCGCGUGUGUGAUGAAGGCCUUCGGGUUGUAAAGCACUUUUGGCGGGAACGAAAAGGACUGUGCCAAUACCACGGUUCGAUGACGGUACCCGCAGAAUAAGCACCGGCUAACUACGUG